CACCCACCGUAUCCACACCGAUCUCUCUCUCUCGACCAGGCGAUGCGCUAGGGUUAGCGCUUCAUGCCGCCGCCCAUGGUCCGAUCACCGGCAGCCGUGGACGUCGCCUCCCUGCCUCCCCACCGGCACCCUGCUGCAAGGGGCUUCUCCCCUCGACAUUGACGCCCCGCUAGCGGCCUCCCUCCUUGACGCCGUCUCCCACACGCCCCAUGACGCUACCUCCCCACGCACUGAGUAUCUCGCGAACGACCUCGCCCGUAUCUUCCUCCACGCUGCAGUCGACGACACCCGACAAUUCGUCCGCAUUGAUUCCACGCCCGUCUCCUAGCCACUGCUCUCGAGUUCAAUGCGUCAAAUGAGAAAGGGAGAUGAUGUUGGGUAGCAAGGGCAACAGGACUUCAAUGCGGCGGCGACUUGAAGCCUUGGGCUACAGGUCGAGGCCUUCUGGCAGCGCUACUACAUGCGGCCUGUCGGCUCCGGUGGCGGCAUGUUUGGCAUCACCAGCACCUUCAUCGGCAUAUCCGAGAGCAGGCCGUGGUGGCUGCAGUGAGGGUGCGUGCGGCAGAGCAGAUGGCGUUCUGAAGAGCUACUACACCUUGGAUCCCGAUCCCUCGCUGAAGGUGCUCGAUCUUGGUGUUUGAAUGCUGCUACCGUACAGCAAGGCAAUAUAAGGUCUCCAGUGCAAGCAUUAUCCAUCUUUAGCUGCUCAUAAGCAGUAUCCAGUUGAGGACAGGUACACUCUUGCUAAGGUUAAUCUUUGAUAUAUAUAAUUCGUUGCCCAGAUAUAGUUUGCAGGUGUAUUUCCCCCCUUUUGAUCAAGAUUUCUGCAGUGCAGAAUGGCUAUUUGCAAGUGUGUUCCGGAACAAUGGUUAGUGUCUAAUGCAAAAGGUUUAAUGACUGCAAAUUAUAUAUUGUUUCUGAGAUUUGUCUAGAAAUUAUAUGUUAUCUCUGAUUUUGGAGCUAGAAUAAUAUGUGUGUUGCCUUUAGUUAUAUAUAUGUACACUCACUGGUUAACUAUGGUUCUUUGGAUUAUUUCGGCGAACCGCUAAACAAUGGACGAUGCGGUUGACAUUGAUUAAGAAGUAGAGAGUUUGUAGGUUGUUCAAAUUUACUUUUGCCAAUGAUCAAAGAAUUGUCAUUCUGGACGUACACCUAUUGGGUUGCGUAUCUCGCCGUCAUUCAUGCUGGCUCUGGUGGCUUACCUUAGGAGUACCACCAAUCUUAGAACAUGCUCUUAAUUUGGGUAAAUUAUGGAAACGUUUAUGGUGGACACAUUUUUGAUUUCAUCCUUUAUUAGCUAAUUUGUAUAGCUUAUGAUCUUAGAGUUAACGGCCACUUAUCAUAUUCUUUAGGUGUGGAGUUAAAAGCUUCACACAGCUAAUGACAUAAAUGCUAUGUUAAACAAUAUCGACGAAGUCAGUAGUUAUCUUUGUCUCUACUUUUUCGGUGACAAGUUCUAUUUUUCCUAUCAAUGGAUCAAGUUGUGUUGGGUUAACUUCAAAGUGGUACAAAAAAUUUGCAGCUAUUUUUUUGUUAGUAAUCUUAUAAGCAACAGAAAAUAGCAGUAUGAUAUUUAUGUCAUUGUGACAUUUAAAUCAGUGUUCAUGCUUGUAAGUCAGGCCACCAAUGUUCGUGCAUAUAAAUCAGGAUCCUUGAUUUUUCCAGUGACUGUCUCUGAUGUAUUUCUAUUUCCAUCUGGCAGCUUAAUUAGAAUUUCUAUUUCCAUAUCUCCCUCCUUUUUGUGAGUGAUUUCAGCUCCAUGAAGAACUCUCUGGUAUAUAUGUCCCCCCAGUCUACUUAUUGUAGAUGUCUGAUCUUGUGGAUUCCUUUUGUUGGCUUUGAGUUCUUAAUGCAGAUGUUUUGCUUCUUCUUCAGUCAUCCAUACCUUUUGUAUGUUUGUUCACUAUACAUUUUGACGACAUUGGGUUUUUAUAGGCAUGGAGACAAGAGAUGGCAUCUUACGUUAAGUCUAUAGAUAUUGUGCCCCUCGUGGAGAUUAGUGUUGAAGGGUAUUAUGGUCCGUCUACUCUGGAACUUUUGCUCGUCAUCCCAGAUGAUUAUUCAGGGCAUGUUGGAACGGACUUCGUUAGGAACCAUCAAGCAUUGUGAAUUGAUUUAGCUUCAGUUCAAAUCUAUUCAGGCACUUGGUUACCUGAAUCAACAGAGGAAAGUCACGUUCAAUUUGUGAACACUUGGAUGCAACAACAUAUCCACAUUCUGCUAUAUCAUCAGAAAGCAAAAACCAUGAGAGGCCACAAUAAUCAUCAAGGUAAAUACAUCCCUGCAGUCUUUCCUUAUGUUUCAUUUGCAUGUUGGUUUGGUAAACUUAGCAUCCUGCAGAGCCAUUUUUUAAGAUAGUUCAGUCAUACUUGGUGCUGCACUAAAAAAUACGUGUUAGAACUUUACAUGCCUAUAGUUAGUCCCACCAGUUUCGAUGGUCAGCAAUUGCAGCUAUGAAGAAUAGGAUAUCUUCUUGAUAUCAGGGAUCAGCAUCUGAUCUUUUAUUUGAUUGGGGUUGUGAUUUCAUUGGGAAAAUAGUUUUGUGCUGGGUAUAUGAUCAUAUUUAUGCUCGCACCGAUGUAUGCCCUUACUUAUGGUUAUUUUGUUGGGCAAAUAAAUUGCCUCAGUUUUCCUGUCGAUGAUAGUAAUACUACCCUCAGUUUAGAUCCAUUUCAGAAGGUAAAGUCUCAUAUCAACACCUACGUAGGAGUUUCAGAAUAUAGACUUAUAAGAUUGGAUACUAUUUUUUGAUCUGAAAAAAUAUCUAUUGCCGAUAAGAACGUAUUUCACAUAAUAUAUUAUUGGUUCAUCCUGGAGCUUGAAAUGUACUCCUUUUUUCUGUAGGGAUUUCUGAAACGAGUAGAAGAUUAAUAACUUCUACGACAUCAAAGAUCUCUGUGCUUUUAGAGUAUGCACCAUAUUGAUUUACUUAUUGAUUUAUUCACACUGUAUCAGAUUUUCCUUGAAUGUGAUACUUUAUUGAUUGCACCGAACACUGGAAGCAAACUGCUUUCUUAAUUCAGGAUUAUCCUGCACCAAUUUCUGUAUAAGUUCUCCUUGAUACCAAUUUGCAUACUUGCAACUGGAAUUCGAGACACAUAUAAUUCAUAAUGAAAAUAUAUACGAGUAUUCGCAAGGCAUCGAAUUUUUUAAAUUACUAUCAGAUGGAAUUUGGGAAUUGGCCUUACAAAGAUAAUAGACAAGGAAAUAUCAUAUGUCAGUGGUUCCCUUUUUACUGGGCAGAUAAUGAAACUUUAGCAAUUCACGAGUUGCAUGAAUACGGAACUCGAGAUAGUCUGUUAGUAUAAGUAAAAAUGUUUUUCAUUUUAUUUCUUGGUUUGACCAAAUUAUAUUUUACCCAAAUGUAUGGAUGAUCGAGGGUGGGAGGGAGCAAGGGAGGAAUGGGGAGAGAGAUUUUGCAGGUAAACAUUGGUAGUACAACCACGUUCCCACAUGUAUGGAUCAUCAUUGUGUUGUUACCAAUAUGCCAGAUACCAUAACUUUCAUGUCUGAAUGUGUUGUAGAAAUGUUCUUUGAUAAAUGUGUUUUUAGCUCUUCAUAUUUUAGUAAGCACACAUAUCACUCCGAAAAAAAAUUUAGUUGGGAGAAGGAAGAAAGGAAGAAAAGGUGAGCACUUCAACGGUAAAAAGAUGCUGCCCGUUGCAACUCACGGGCAUUUGGUUAUUCAUGUAUAUCAGUAUGACUCAUGGCAUUUCUGGAUUGCCAGUAGCCCUGAUCUGAUUGCUUGAUGUACCUAUAUCAUUUUCUUUUCAGUCACCUAUUAAUCCGAGCAGGGAUGAUGAGGGAAAAGAAAUGGUCAUGGUGAAAGUCAAUUUAGUGCAUCAAGGAUUGGAGGGUGUGAGAUUUGCAAGAGGUGAUGGAGGACAGUUUGUAGUCAAGGAAGAGUACAAACAUAAGUUGGUUGAGAAUUUUUAGAGAUUUAGACAUAUACUUUUGCAAUCUAUAAGAGGAUCAAAUAUGUUUUGGGUUGAUGCUUAUGUCCCAUGCAAGAAAUGGGGAUGAAUUUUAAACACCACGGCACCGUGGCUCUCUGGCAAAC
Triticum aestivum (bread wheat) is the source of this 4060-nucleotide long non-coding RNA. RefSeq lists it as uncharacterized. NCBI's taxonomy places the organism in Eukaryota, Viridiplantae, Streptophyta, Magnoliopsida, Poales, Poaceae. The transcript has 3 exons. The record is from RefSeq and is a predicted model, not a curated record.